AGUGAACGCUGGCGGUAGGCCUAACACAUGCAAGUCGAACGGCAGCACAGUAAGAGCUUGCUCUUACGGGUGGCGAGUGGCGGACGGGUGAGGAAUACAUCGGAAUCUACUUUUUCGUGGGGGAUAACGUAGGGAAACUUACGCUAAUACCGCAUACGACCUACGGGUGAAAGCAGGGGAUCUUCGGACCUUGCGCGAUUGAAUGAGCCGAUGUCGGAUUAGCUAGUUGGCGGGGUAAAGGCCCACGAAGGCGACGAUCCGUAGCUGGUCUGGGAGGAUGAUCAGCCACACUGGAACUGAGACACGGUCCAGACUCCUACGGGAGGCAGCAGUGGGGAAUAUUGGACAAUGGGCGCAAGCCUGAUCCAGCCAUACCGCGUGGGUGAAGAAGGCCUUCGGGUUGUAAAGCCCUUUUGUUGGGAAAGAAAAGCAGCAGGUUAAUACCCCGCUGUUCUGACGGUACCCAAAGAAUAAGCACCGGCUAACUUCGUG
This 492-nucleotide ribosomal RNA is filed under the name uncultured bacterium. RNAcentral's name for it is "partial 16S ribosomal RNA". It matches the Rfam family "Bacterial small subunit ribosomal RNA", at positions 29 to 507 of the family's 1533-position model. The record is from RNAcentral.